GACGAACGCUGGCGGCGUGCUUAACACAUGCAAGUCGAACGGAAAGGCCCUGCUUUUGUGGGGUGCUCGAGUGGCGAACGGGUGAGUAACACGUGAGUAACCUGCCCUUGACUUUGGGAUAACUUCAGGAAACUGGGGCUAGUACCGGAUAGGAGCCCCUGCUGCAUGGUGGGGGUUGGAAAGUUUCGGCGGUUGGGGAUGGACUCGCGGCUUAUCAGCUUGUUGGUGGGGUAGUGGCUUACCAAGGCUUUGACGGGUAGCCGGCCUGAGAGGGUGACCGGCCACAUUGGGACUGAGAUACGGCCCAGACUCCUACGGGAGGCAGCAGUGGGGAAUAUUGCACAAUGGGCGGAAGCCUGAUGCAGCAACGCCGCGUGCGGGAUGACGGCCUUCGGGUUGUAAACCGCUUUCGCCUGUGACGAAGCGUGAGUGACGGUAAUGGGUAAAGAAGCACCGGCUAACUACGUG
RNAcentral lists this ribosomal RNA (468 nucleotides) under uncultured bacterium. Its description in RNAcentral is "partial 16S ribosomal RNA". It matches the Rfam family "Bacterial small subunit ribosomal RNA", at positions 28 to 507 of the family's 1533-position model. The record is from RNAcentral.